Cyanistes caeruleus (blue tit) is the source of this 310-nucleotide long non-coding RNA. The record is from Ensembl. NCBI's taxonomy places the organism in Eukaryota, Metazoa, Chordata, Aves, Passeriformes, Paridae.
GAAAUUCUGUACUUUUUUUCCCCACAGGCCUGGGGUUUUAUCUCAGAUGUGAAGCUCCUAAACCAGAAACUCCUGUUUCCAAGGGCACCCGAGGAGAUGAAGUUUUCAGGCUGUCACAGGAACAGACACUCCUAACACGUGAAAGCCGGCAUCUGGGACAUCCACGAGGGCUGCUUGGCUAAGGACAACAGGAUCAGGACCCUCCCCGCCGGGGACGUCACCGAUGGACUGUGGACACUUAGCAGAGAGCAGCGAGGAGAUCUCCAGCCCGGGCGCAGAGGCCGAUUCCCUGCUGCCUUCCUCAGCCGGC